UACAGAGGUGGCAAGCGUUGUUCGGAAUUUCUGGGCGUAAAGGGCGCGUAGGCGGCCUACUAAGUCAGACGUGAAAUCCCCCGGCUUAACCUGGGAACUGCGUCUGAUACUGGAAGGCUUGAGUAUGGGAGAGGGAUGUAGAAUUCCAGGUGUAGCGGUGAAAUGCGCAGAUAUCAGGAAGAACACCCGUGGCUAAGGCGGCUCUCUAGUACGGUACUGACGCUGAGACGCGAAAGCGUGGGGAGCGAACAGG
This 253-nucleotide ribosomal RNA is filed under the name uncultured bacterium. RNAcentral describes it as "partial 16S ribosomal RNA". It matches the Rfam family "Bacterial small subunit ribosomal RNA", at positions 524 to 776 of the family's 1533-position model. The record is from RNAcentral.